AGAGUUUGAUCMUGGCUCAGGACGAACGCUGGCGGCGUGCUUAACACAUGCAAGUCGAACGAUGAAGCCCUUCGGGGUGGAUUAGUGGCGAACGGGUGAGUAACACGUGGGCAAUCUGCCCUUCACUCUGGGACAAGCCCUGGAAACGGGGUCUAAUACCGGAUAACACUCUGUCCCGCAUGGGACGGGGUUGAAAGCUCCGGCGGUGAAGGAUGAGCCCGCGGCCUAUCAGCUUGUUGGUGGGGUAAUGGCCUACCAAGGCGACGACGGGUAGCCGGCCUGAGAGGGCGACCGGCCACACUGGGACUGAGACACGGCCCAGACUCCUACGGGAGGCAGCAGUGGGGAAUAUUGCACAAUGGGCGAAAGCCUGAUGCAGCGACGCCGCGUGAGGGAUGACGGCCUUCGGGUUGUAAACCUCUUUCAGCAGGGAAGAAGCGAAAGUGACGGUACCUGCAGAAGAAGCGCCGGCUAACUACGUGCCAGCAGCCGCGGUAAUACGUAGGGCGCAAGCGUUGUCCGGAAUUAUUGGGCGUAAAGAGCUCGUAGGCGGCUUGUCACGUCGGAUGUGAAAGCCCGGGGCUUAACCCCGGGUCUGCAUUCGAUACGGGCUAGCUAGAGUGUGGUAGGGGAGAUCGGAAUUCCUGGUGUAGCGGUGAAAUGCGCAGAUAUCAGGAGGAACACCGGUGGCGAAGGCGGAUCUCUGGGCCAUUACUGACGCUGAGGAGCGAAAGCGUGGGGAGCGAACAGGAUUAGAUACCCUGGUAGUCCACGCCGUAAACGUUGGGAACUAGGUGUUGGCGACAUUCCACGUCGUCGGUGCCGCAGCUAACGCAUUAAGUUCCCCGCCUGGGGAGUACGGCCGCAAGGCUAAAACUCAAAKGAAUUACGG
Molecule: ribosomal RNA, 892 nt
Rfam family: Bacterial small subunit ribosomal RNA